Molecule: ribosomal RNA, 217 nt
Filed under: Leuroglossus schmidti (northern smooth-tongue)
Lineage: Eukaryota; Metazoa; Chordata; Actinopteri; Argentiniformes; Bathylagidae
Description: partial 16S ribosomal RNA
Source: RNAcentral
AUGGAGCUUUAGACAAAAGGCAGAUUACGUUAAAACCCCUAAACUACCAGGGCUAAACACAGUACUCCCUCGCCAACAUGUCUUCGGUUGGGGCGACCGCGGGGGAAAACCAAGCCCCCAUGUGGACUGGAAAAACCUUUUCCACAGCCAAGAGUUACAACUCUAAGCAACAGAAUUUCUGACCAAAACGAUCCGGCAAACGCCGAUCAACGGACCA